GAUGAACGCUAGCUACAGGCUUAACACAUGCAAGUCGAGGGGUAGCAGGGUAGCAAUACCGCUGACGACCGGCGCACGGGUGAGUAACACGUAUCCAACCUUCCCAUCACUCGGGGAUAGCCUUUACGAAAGAAAGAUUAAUACCCGAUAGUACUUUUUUGAGGCAUCUUGAGAAAGUUAAAGAUUUAUUGGUGAUGGAUGGGGAUGCGUUCCAUUAGAUUGUUGGUGAGGUAACGGCUCACCAAGUCUUCGAUGGAUAGGGGUUCUGAGAGGAAGGUCCCCCACAUUGGUACUGAGACACGGACCAAACUCCUACGGGAGGCAGCAGUGAGGAAUAUUGGUCAAUGGGCGAGAGCCUGAACCAGCCAAGUAGCGUGAAGGAUGAAGGUCCUAUGGAUUGUAAACUUCUUUUAUAGUAGAAUAAAGUGAUCCACGUGUGGAUUUUUGUAUGUAUACUAUGAAUAAGGAUCGGCUAACUCCGUG
This 483-nucleotide ribosomal RNA is filed under the name uncultured bacterium. Its description in RNAcentral is "bacterial SSU rRNA". It matches the Rfam family "Bacterial small subunit ribosomal RNA", at positions 28 to 507 of the family's 1533-position model. The record is from RNAcentral.